This 366-nucleotide ribosomal RNA is filed under the name uncultured Geobacteraceae bacterium. RNAcentral's name for it is "bacterial SSU rRNA". It matches the Rfam family "Bacterial small subunit ribosomal RNA", at positions 466 to 831 of the family's 1533-position model. The record is from RNAcentral. Lineage: Bacteria; Pseudomonadati; Thermodesulfobacteriota; Desulfuromonadia; Geobacterales; Geobacteraceae.
GGUUUGACGGUACCUAUAAAGGAAGCACCGGCUAACUCCGUGCCAGCAGCCGCGGUAAUACGGGGGGUGCAAGCGUUGUUCGGAAUUAUUGGGCGUAAAGCGCGUGUAGGCGGUCUGAUUAGUCUGAUGUGAAAGCCCUGGGCUCAACCCAGGAAGUGCAUUGGAUACUGUCAGACUUGAAUACGGGAGAGGGUAGUGGAAUUCCUAGUGUAGGAGUGAAAUCCGUAUAUAUUAGGAGGAACACCGGUGGCGAAGGCGGCUACCUGGACCGAUAUUGACGCUGAGACGCGAAAGCGUGGGUAGCAAACAGGAUUAGAUACCCUGGUAGUCCACGCCGUAAACGAUGAGAACUAGGUGUCGCGGGUA